AGCUCGAGUUUCUCUUCAUUGUCGCAUAAAUCUUUCGCCUUUUACUAAAGAUUUCCGUGGAGGGGAGCUUUUGCGAGUGACCUGUAUUUUUGGGGCUCUGCUCACAGCAGAGC
This is a small nuclear RNA of Cyprinus carpio carpio, 113 nucleotides long. Its record names the gene U5. It matches the Rfam family "U5 spliceosomal RNA". From Rfam's summary of the family: U5 RNA is a component of both types of known spliceosome. The precise function of this molecule is unknown, though it is known that the 5' loop is required for splice site selection and p220 binding, and that both the 3' stem-loop and the Sm site are important for Sm protein binding and cap methylation. NCBI's taxonomy places the organism in Eukaryota, Metazoa, Chordata, Actinopteri, Cypriniformes, Cyprinidae. The record is from Ensembl.